This 175-nucleotide non-coding RNA is filed under the name Amorphochlora amoebiformis. Lineage: Eukaryota; Cercozoa; Chlorarachniophyceae. The record is from RNAcentral.
AGGAAGCAUGGGAGCAUGGCCAACCUACUUCAUUGUCAGCCGAGGUCCAUCAGAUUCCGGGACUAUUUUGAAGAGGACAUAGACGAAGACUAUGAUCCAGAGUGGGAGGAGUUCGUCCUCCAGCUCAAGCAUGACCUUCGCAUCAAAUUAUACGAUUUAUCUUAUUUUCUGGGGA